This 459-nucleotide ribosomal RNA is filed under the name uncultured bacterium. Its description in RNAcentral is "partial 16S ribosomal RNA". It matches the Rfam family "Bacterial small subunit ribosomal RNA", at positions 338 to 795 of the family's 1533-position model. The record is from RNAcentral.
CCUACGGGUGGCAGCAGUGAGGAAUAUUGGUCAAUGGUCGGGAGACUGAACCAGCCAAGCCGCGUGAGGGAUGAAGGUACAGCGUAUCGUAAACCUCUUUUGUCAGGGAACAAAGGCGGGGACGCGUCCCCGGAUGAGUGUACCUGAAGAAAAAGCAUCGGCUAACUCCGUGCCAGCAGCCGCGGUAAUACGGAGGAUGCGAGCGUUAUCCGGUUUUAUUGGGUUUAAGGGGUGCGCAGGGGGUGUGUUAAGUCAGCGGUAAAAGCUGGGGGCCAAACCCCGGCCCGCCGUUGAAACUGGCAGUCUCGAGUUGGAGAGAAGUAGGCGGAAUGCGCGGUGUAGCGGUGAAAUGCAUAGAUAUCGCGCAGAACUCCGAUUGCGAAGGCAGCAUGCCGGCUCCACACUGACGCUGAGGCACGAAAGCGUGGGUAUCGAACAGGAUUAGAUACCCUUGUAGUC